AGCAAAUGUGACUCCAUUUUGUUUUAUGACUUCAUCCUGUAAAACCACCAUGCCAAGUAGAAGAGUCAUGACUGGGGCAAGAUGUUCUUUUCCUUUUGCUAUAGAAACCUUUAAGAACACAAAACUACCUAAUGGGGUAUUGUUUCUGUAACUAGGGUAACAGGGCUCUGUUUCUGUAACUGGGGUGACUGGGCUAACUGUGAUUGGUUAGGCUUCCCUCCGCUUGACUGCACUGUCCCACUUCUGUAACCUGGCUUGCUUGCAUUGGCUAGACCCCCUGAACAUCCC
Molecule: long non-coding RNA, 288 nt
Filed under: Marmota monax (woodchuck)
Lineage: Eukaryota; Metazoa; Chordata; Mammalia; Rodentia; Sciuridae
Source: RNAcentral